RNAcentral lists this ribosomal RNA (715 nucleotides) under Pseudoalteromonas sp. Its description in RNAcentral is "bacterial SSU rRNA". It matches the Rfam family "Bacterial small subunit ribosomal RNA", at positions 396 to 1104 of the family's 1533-position model. Lineage: Bacteria; Pseudomonadati; Pseudomonadota; Gammaproteobacteria; Alteromonadales; Pseudoalteromonadaceae. The record is from RNAcentral.
GCCGCGUGUGUGANGANGGCCUUCGGGUUGUAAAGCACUUUCAGUCAGGAGGAAAGGUUAGUAGUUAAUACCUGCUAGCUGUGACGUUACUGACAGAAGAAGCACCGGCUAACUCCGUGCCAGCAGCCGCGGUAAUACGGAGGGUGCGAGCGUUAAUCGGAAUUACUGGGCGUAAAGCGUACGCAGGCGGUUUGUUAAGCGAGAUGUGAAAGCCCCGGGCUUAACCUGGGAACUGCAUUUCGAACUGGCAAACUAGAGUGUGAUAGAGGGUGGUAGAAUUUCAGGUGUAGCGGUGAAAUGCGUAGAGAUCUGAAGGAAUACCGAUGGCGAAGGCAGCCACCUGGGUCAACACUGACGCUCAUGUACGAAAGCGUGGGGAGCAAACAGGAUUAGAUACCCUGGUAGUCCACGCCGUAAACGAUGUCUACUAGGAGCUGGGGUCUUCGGACAACUUUUCCAAAGCUAACGCAUUAAGUAGACCGCCUGGGGAGUACGGCCGCAAGGUUAAAACUCAAAUGAAUUGACGGGGGCCCGCACAAGCGGUGGAGCAUGUGGUUUAAUUCGAUGCAACGCGAAGAACCUUACCUACACUUGACAUACAGAGAACUUACCAGAGAUGGUUUGGUGCCUUCGGGARCUCUGAUACAGGUGCUGCAUGGCUGUCGUCAGCUCGUGUUGUGAGAUGUUGGGUUAAGUCCCGCAACGAGCGCAACCC